Long non-coding RNA from Solanum lycopersicum (tomato), 1418 nucleotides. RefSeq lists it as uncharacterized. NCBI's taxonomy places the organism in Eukaryota, Viridiplantae, Streptophyta, Magnoliopsida, Solanales, Solanaceae. The record is from RefSeq and is a predicted model, not a curated record.
AGUCUUCAAGAACAAUUACUACUCCGGAUAAAAUUAAACAACUAAUAAUUUUACAAACCUUGUAAAAGCAUUUGAGAGGAAAGGAGUAAUAAGUAGUUUUAGCAUAAUGAAUACUAUCAUUGCGUGAUUUUACUUUUAUUUUCCGAAACCAAACAAAAGGUGCUUGGUAAAGGAGGUUGUAUAUACCUAAUAGAUGAAUAUUUAGGUAUAUAUAAUAUAGGUCCACCAGGACGCCCCGUCAUUCAAUAUUUGUCUAGUAGGGGAGUCCUAGAGAGAUUUUUAAGCCAAGAAUUGGGACCUUAAGAAGUGGUGCAGAGUCUGUCGAUGGACCUAAGGUCCGAACAAAUGGUACGUAUUUUCGGUUACACAAUUAAUGGUUUAUGAUUUCAACCACGACCAACUAGGACGUCAGUGGACUGACAAACGGGCCGUGGGUUGGGGCAUUAGUGAGGUUGACAAUUAUUUUUGUUAAGGUCAUUUGGAUCAUUUCCUAUUUAUAUUAGCCUAAUGCUAUGUUGCUUACCUUAAACUAAAGCCAUAUGUUAGUGUUUUUACCCCCUAAUCUACCCAAUUGAAAUCAUUCUCCCAAAUUCCUAAAAGUAGAACAAUUCUUCCUCUUCAAAACAUUUCUCUUUCAAUCUUGAAGAAGAAGGAGUCGACCAACGGUUUCAAGUCAAGCCUCCAACUUCACCAUCGAAGGAAAGCUUUUGGUAUCGAGAAAACAUGAAGAAGAAGAAGAAGAAGAAGAAGAAGAAGAAGAAGAAGAAGAAGAAGAAGAAGAACAAGAAGAAGAAGAAGAAGAAGAAGAAGAAGGGUCCUUUCAAGCCAAGUCUCCAAUGCCACCAUUGAAGUUAAGCAAUUGGCAUCAAGGAAAGAUGUUCAGGCUUAAAAUGGAGAAGACAAUUGAAAAAAUGUAGAAAUAGACGUACGGAGUCAAUCGACGAACCUUCGUUCAAUCGAAGCUUUGUAGGUGAAGGUCAUAGAUGAGAAGCCCAGACAUUGGAUAAAAUUAGGGAAGUCUAACCAAGUGUGGAACCACGAUUAGCAUCAACUCUCCGUUGAUCGAUCGACGAACCGUACAAGUUAACCGUAAUUUGUGAUUAUGAUGGUUCUAGUACCUGAUAUUUGAGGAAUAUAAGUAUGGAGUGAUGGAGAAGCAUCGAAGGACCAUAGAUGGAAUGAUGAACCGUAAUGUUGGUCCAUCAUUUCAUUUAGAGAGGGUGUCAUUCGAACAACAAAAAUAUUUUCUAUGUCUUGGCUGACGGAAGCAAAUAAUGGGUCGUCGAUCAGCCCAUCAGUUGUCUCGUCAAUUAAAGGCGCUUGCCUGAAGAAAACUUGUCAUUUGAAUUCUUUUUAUUAAGACUUUGUUUUCUAUAAAUAGGGAAUAAAGACCUCGUUUUGGGGGUUGGUAAUUAUUA